Molecule: ribosomal RNA, 819 nt
Filed under: Streptomyces sp. AKB-2008-LO6
Lineage: Bacteria; Bacillati; Actinomycetota; Actinomycetes; Kitasatosporales; Streptomycetaceae
Description: bacterial SSU rRNA
Rfam family: Bacterial small subunit ribosomal RNA
Source: RNAcentral
ACCUGGCUCAGGACGAACGCUGGCGGCGUGCUUAACACAUGCAAGUCGAACGAUGAACCUCCUUCGGGAGGGGAUUAGUGGCGAACGGGUGAGUAACACGUGGGCAAUCUGCCCUUCACUCUGGGACAAGCCCUGGAAACGGGGUCUAAUACCGGAUAUGACACACGACCGCAUGGUCUGUGUGUGGAAAGCUCCGGCGGUGAAGGAUGAGCCCGCGGCCUAUCAGCUUGUUGGUGGGGUGAUGGCCUACCAAGGCGACGACGGGUAGCCGGCCUGAGAGGGCGACCGGCCACACUGGGACUGAGACACGGCCCAGACUCCUACGGGAGGCAGCAGUGGGGAAUAUUGCACAAUGGGCGAAAGCCUGAUGCAGCGACGCCGCGUGAGGGAUGACGGCCUUCGGGUUGUAAACCUCUUUCAGCAGGGAAGAAGCGAGAGUGACGGUACCUGCAGAAGAAGCGCCGGCUAACUACGUGCCAGCAGCCGCGGUAAUACGUAGGGCGCAAGCGUUGUCCGGAAUUAUUGGGCGUAAAGAGCUCGUAGGCGGCUUGUCACGUCGGAUGUGAAAGCCCGGGGCUUAACCCCGGGUCUGCAUUCGAUACGGGCAGGCUAGAGUUCGGUAGGGGAGAUCGGAAUUCCUGGUGUAGCGGUGAAAUGCGCAGAUAUCAGGAGGAACACCGGUGGCGAAGGCGGAUCUCUGGGCCGAUACUGACGCUGAGGAGCGAAAGCGUGGGGAGCGAACAGGAUUAGAUACCCUGGUAGUCCACGCCGUAAACGUUGGGAACUAGGUGUGGGCGACAUUCCACGUCGUCCGUGCCG